AAGGAGCAACGUCGAGUCUGAUGAAGGGAGAAGACUUGGAAGGUAGAAUAUCGGUGCUGGAAUAGAGAAGCCCCUAAGCCAAGCUUUCUCGUUUUACAGAAUAUAAGCACCAGCUUCCAGGUCAUGUGACCAACAAGACAGCCAACUAGACAUUUUCUCCAUUCUUCACUAAAUCUCACAAAGUGGGGUGGAGUUUGGGAGUGAGGUUCUGGAAUUUUGUGUCUGAGAUAAAACAAUUACACUGAAUCCACAGGACAAGAGAGCAAGAAGCCCAACAAAGGCUUGGGAA
RNAcentral lists this long non-coding RNA (289 nucleotides) under Monodelphis domestica (gray short-tailed opossum). Its description in RNAcentral is "lncRNA (ENSMODG00000044639.1)". Lineage: Eukaryota; Metazoa; Chordata; Mammalia; Didelphimorphia; Didelphidae. The record is from RNAcentral.